Molecule: unclassified non-coding RNA, 309 nt
Filed under: plant metagenome
Description: partial contains 5.8S ribosomal RNA, internal transcribed spacer 2, and large subunit ribosomal RNA
Rfam family: 5.8S ribosomal RNA (bases 1-105)
Source: RNAcentral
GAAAUGCGAUAAGUAGAGUGAAUUGCAGAAUUCAGUGAAUCAUCGAAUCUUUGAACGCACAUUGCGCCCCUUGGUAUUCCAUGGGGCAUGCCUGUUCGAGCGUCAUUUGUACCCUCAAGCUCUGCUUGGUGUUGGGUGUUUGUCCCGUCUCCGCGCGUGGACUCGCCCCAAAGUGAUUGGCAGCCGGCGUACUGGUCCCGGAGCGCAGCACAUGUCGCGCAAACGAGUGCCUUGGUACGGCGGCGUCCAUAAGCCCCUCUCUCACGCUCUUGACCUCGGAUCAGGUAGGGAUACCCGCUGAACUUAAGC